UAUAAAGUGAAGUGACAGCUCGACUCCACAGUUCGAAGCGCUGAUCUCUCGGCGCGACGCGAGAGUGCUUUUAGUCGAUCGUAUAUCGACUAAACAUAUCCGGCUCAACGGCCCCUCGAAGCAACGUGGGCUUCUUGGCCCAACGAGUUAAAAGCCCACGAAGGCGACGCGAGCUAGGUCACAGAAGAGCAUCAAGUCGAUUAUAUAAGGAGAAGGGGGGUGCAACGUAAAGAGAAUCCAAAAUCA
This 246-nucleotide long non-coding RNA is filed under the name Brassica napus (rape). Its description in RNAcentral is "long non-coding RNA (BNAP_LNC026935)". The record is from RNAcentral. Lineage: Eukaryota; Viridiplantae; Streptophyta; Magnoliopsida; Brassicales; Brassicaceae.